UGAAAAAUAAAUUAAAAAAUUAAAAGACUUCAAAUCUUUCUAUACUAGCAAAUCUAGUUUUUUCAG
Molecule: transfer RNA, 66 nt
Filed under: Hertwigia falcifera
Lineage: Eukaryota; Metazoa; Porifera; Hexactinellida; Lyssacinosida; Euplectellidae
Description: tRNA-Trp
Source: RNAcentral